Drosophila ficusphila is the source of this 1367-nucleotide long non-coding RNA. RefSeq lists it as uncharacterized. The record is from RefSeq and is a predicted model, not a curated record. The transcript is spliced from 3 exons. NCBI's taxonomy places the organism in Eukaryota, Metazoa, Arthropoda, Insecta, Diptera, Drosophilidae.
CGAGUUCAAAACUCACACAGUCGUAAAUGAAAAGUUUUCGCCACUCUAGAAAUUGCGGUAAACUAAUAUGUUACACCACCAAAAAGUUGAAAAGAUUUAUGAGUUAUUUAGCGACUUUCAAUUAAUUUAUAUGUGUUGUUAAACAAGGAAAAUCGUCAACCCCUUUAUUUACGUUCGACUUUUAAAUUGACCAAAAUGUGUUUGGCUAGAAUUUUAUGACAUUUGCUGAACGCUUGCACUCAUAUUUAUAGAGUUAUAGGCAUACAAGCAUACAGCACGGGUCAAAAAAAUAAUAUCAGGGGGUAGAAAAGUAAUAAAUGAGGAGAUAUUAGUGAUUAAACAUGUAUGGGGUUUCAAAUUGUAGUUCUCAAUGAGUUGAUAUACAAUAAAAAUUUAUUAAUGCAGAAAAAUAUUCAUAUACCUUGUUUUUAAUCCUCCAUUAUAGUAAAAGAAAAUUAAAACGUUUUUUCGGAAAUUCAAAAAAAAAAAAAAAAUUAUAGAAAAUUCUAGUUUUUUAAGCAUAUGUGUGCCAUUACAGUCAUAGACCCGUGAGUGGACUGGGUGUAUGGGCGUCUUGUUUAACCAGACCGAUUGCCGAAGCCCGUCUUCGUGCCCGUCGUUAUCCUUAUCAGGCGAGUGUGUUUUGCCAGGCUUCUCCGCUGCCUUCGGGGUCCUUUAAACGAGCGGAUGGCGUCGCAGUCGCCUCAGUUCGUCGGCAGCAGUCCCACAGUGCGGAUGAAUCGAAAGCGGAACGCCGACCGCCGACCUUUGACAUCAGUUCGCUGGCGUACGCGAUUUUUGCCGCGCUGUCAACGCGAUUUAGAACGCUUUUGAUCCGUUGGUUUUUUGGUGCCGUAACUCGGACGGAAAAAAAACGAGAAAAAAAUAAACUAAAACAGUGUAAACAAGAGAGCAAGAGUUACAUGACUGAAAAUAAAGUAAAGCCUCCUCGUUCAAUAACAAAUCAAUUGAAAUAUGUAUACCCGCCUUGCUGGGUGCAUCCACGGUAAACAAGAGCUCGUCCCCAUGAUUGUUUGUUUGCAAACAUCGGAUUCGUUACCAGACCGAUUUUGCCUACAGUGCGUUUCGCAACUGAGUGACUCUGGUGACCACGAAAUUUGCAAACAAAAGUGGAUGACAAAUUCCAAAAACCUAAAGCAGCAUUUUUAAAAUGGGAUGCUAAGCUAAAAGCGUUACUUCCAAAUAAAUUCGAGAAUUUAUCUCCAUUUAAAUUGUGUUUUUUAGGUAAUUAAUCGUUUCUUCCUUGCUACGAAUCUUUAAAGUGACACAAGUUUUCAAAUGUAACGACUCGAAUCCAGAUGAUAUAUUGCAUCGAUGCCUCUCGUGCAGGCGCAUUAGGUUCGCUU